RNAcentral lists this long non-coding RNA (1032 nucleotides) under Mus spicilegus (steppe mouse). RNAcentral describes it as "lncRNA (ENSMSIG00000003613.1)". Lineage: Eukaryota; Metazoa; Chordata; Mammalia; Rodentia; Muridae. The record is from RNAcentral.
AUGAACACGUGGAUAGUAAGAGGUGGAAAGGUUUCGCAGAACUUCCCCUGGGCUUGUGAGCAAACAGAGUUUGGAGAUUUAAACCCUUGUGGGAGUUCAUCUACACUAAACAGAACAGCAGAGCACCAGUGCUUAGAGGCUUCCUACCACCGGCUUGUGGCUGACUGGACAGUGGUGCCAGAUCAAGGGACAGGAGUGUCAUCAAGUGACUCCGUCUGUAAACACAAUGGCUAGCGUGCUGUACAGUUCUGUCUUGUUCUGUUGUGGCUAUUGAGACCACAGGCGAAGCUGAUAGCCUGACUGCCUUCCCACUUCAUAUCUAGAAUUUUGGCUGAACUUAAAUCUGUUUACAUGUAUUUGUUGUAUGUGCGUGUGCGUGAUGUAUCUCUUGCAUGAAGUCAUAGGUCUGAGGGCAACUUCAGAGUUAGCUCUCUUCUUCUAACAUUUGGAUUCUGGGGAUCAAACUCAUGUCGUCAGGCUGAAGGAAAAGUACCUUUGCUUACUGAGCCAUCCUUAUAUUGUGCGCCAGUUGACUUUUGUCAAUUUGACACAAACCUAGACAUAUCUGGGAAGAGGAACCUCCAUUGAGAAAAUGCCUCCCUCCAUCAGAUUGCCUAUAGGCAAGUCUGUCUGGCGGGGGUUUUAUUACUAAUUGGUGUGAGAGGAUUCAGCUCUCUGUGGGUGAUGCCACCUCUGAUUAGUUUGUUCUGCAUGGUUUAAGAAAGUAGGCCAAGCAAGCCAUAAGUGAAUACACCAAUAACCAGCAUUCAAGAUGCUGUGAAAAAUUAUAAAACGCGUGCUACAAAGCCCAAAGGCAGUUGCAGACCACAAGGUCAAACUUCAUGCCCAAGGAGGUCAACACAGAACGGAAAAAGACUCAGAGGCCUUGACAGAUCACCAGCCAGCAGCCCUAGAGCUACACUCAGGGGUGGAUGACAGAGCCAGACAAUGCCAGCUUGGGGCGCAUGAGGCAUGGGAGGAGAUGAAGAUGCUUAGACAGGAAGGAAGAGGAAACAUGAAAGGAAGCUGAGG